This 495-nucleotide ribosomal RNA is filed under the name uncultured bacterium. Its description in RNAcentral is "partial 16S ribosomal RNA". It matches the Rfam family "Bacterial small subunit ribosomal RNA", at positions 30 to 507 of the family's 1533-position model. The record is from RNAcentral.
UGACCGCUGGCGGCGUGCCUAAUACAUGCACGUCGCGCGAACAGACGAGGAGCUUGCUCCUCUGACGUUAGCGGCGGACGGGUGAGUAACACGUGGAUAACCUACCUAUAAGACUGGGAUAACUUCGGGAAACCGGAGCUAAUACCGGAUAAUAUAUUGAACCGCAUGGUUCAAUAGUGAAAGACGGUUUUGCUGUCACUUAUAGAUGGAUCCGCGCCGCAUUAGCUAGUUGGUAAGGUAACGGCUUACCAAGGCAACGAUGCGUAGCCGACCUGAGAGGGUGAUCGGCCACACUGGAACUGAGACACGGUCCAGACUCCUACGGGAGGCAGCAGUAGGGAAUCUUCCGCAAUGGGCGAAAGCCUGACGGAGCAACGCCGCGUGAGUGAUGAAGGUCUUCGGAUCGUAAAACUCUGUUAUUAGGGAAGAACAAAUGUGUAAGUAACUAUGCACGUCUUGACGGUACCUAAUCAGAAAGCCACGGCUAACUACGUG